AAACAAACAAGCAAACAAGGAAACAACUAAAAAUAUAUCUCCCAGUCUGUGCUUAUCAGAUCUGUGCUAAGGAACUCCUUCAAUUCUUAACUAAGCUUGCACAGAGCCAAAGGAGAAACCUGAGGCUACAAGCCUGUACAGAAUGUUAUGACACUGUAUACUGGAGGCAACUCUAACACAAUGUACAUGAAUCACUCCUACUAAGAGAUCCUGAAAGAGGUCAUCAAAGCCACCAGAAACUAUUCCUGGACAGAGGAGGUUUUAUAGGUGUGGUUGGUCUCCUUACUGACGUGUCAACUACAAAUGCACAGGGUUCUGCCUGAAAUGUUUUAGUUGUUGCAGAUGUGUAGCUUCUAUAUGUAAAGUCUUCACUGCACGUGCUACAGAAACUUGAACUAUCUGAAGAGAGGAUGGAGUCAUCAGAUACUGGAUCCAGUCAAAAUAUUUGGAUGCUUUCAGAAACAUCUGCCUAGCUGAGAUGUGGGGAAGGAACAUAAAGCAUUUUCUCUCCCAGUCCCUGCUGAAAGGGUGAGCCUGUGGUCUAUAUAUAUAGGAAUGACUAAAGUUAAUUGUUAAGAAUUAUUUGAUAGGCAAAAAUAAAAGCUAAUGCUUUAUAUAGAUUGACGGGCUUUGUAUCCAAUAAAAGCGAUAAUACAAAUAAAUACAAAUAAUACAAAUAAAAUAAAAAUAAAAUAAAAUAAUACAAAUAAAUACAAAUUGUCCUAGAUAGGAAAGCUGAGAACAGAUACUAAAGUAAGGUAACAAAUUAAAAUUUAGAUAGAAAAUAAAAGCCAAGCUAGAUUUGGGAAUCAAAGAGUAGGGAGGGCUGAGCAAGGUUAAGAAAGUUAGACUAUUAAUUUGUUUGAGCUGGAGCCAAGAACCAGAUUUGAAUAACCAUUUCCUUAGUGACUAAUGUUGCUGUCAUAGAUUUGAACUGGACCAUGGGUAGAAAUAAAUGCAUCUGUAGAAUUCUAUAAACCUCUAUUUAGCAACUGCAAAUAUAUUUUGUGCUUACAAAACUCAUCUUACAUAUAAUAAAGUAGUACUCUAUUUUUAAGUUGUUAAAAUUCUUAAAACAUAGAGCUUGUAAACACAAGUAAUUGGCAGAAAAGCUUAGAAGGCUGAUAUGUAGGUCUCAGUGUAAAUAUGAUUCCUGUAACUAGGCUGCUAACACCCAAAAUAUUGCCUAAAUUAGUCUGAAAUUAUCCAUAUUUCAGAGAAACAUUCAAAGAAAAGUUAACAUAUAUGUAGCACACUCUCUUCUGACUCACUUGAAAGCAUUUGAGGAGCACCCCAGGAAAGGCCAUUUUAUUCAGCUGUAAUCCCCAAAUACACAAACAUAUUUUUAACUUAUUGUAUAAGCAAUGGGUUAGUGGCAUUAAACACAUAUUUUGAGAUGACAAUCUUAUGUUGUAAAAUACAUGUCUUAAAUAAAUACAGUCUAAAUCAAAUACUUAAGAAUCAUACCUAAAUGUUUAUAGGAAGAUAAUUAUUCUAAAUCAACUACAACACAUAUAAAUUAUAAACUAAGACAUUCAAAAUAUGUCAUUUUUCUUAUUACUGGAGAUGAUAAACAAAAACCUACAUUAUUACUCUUAGGUUAGUUACGGCGAAGAGAUUCCAACCUCAAUAUAUAAAAGAGGGAUAUAUUUCUAACGUUUUCUUUGUAGUGAAAUAUGAUAGAUAGAAUCCUAGUUUUUAAUUGCUUUCUAUUACAACAUUAAGCUGAAAAAAAUUCCCUUGGGUCAAAGCUUUUGUAUUUGCUGCAUAUUCUAUGAAUUGAGCAAGUUUCCAUGUUAAAUAGCGUCUCAGAGCAUGUGUUGUUCCUCAAAUGCUUUCUCUUUCCUGACUUUUCGGUCUAGAUCCAGAGUUAGGCCUCAUAAAAAUACACGAUCUUAUCUUUGCCUGUUCCAAGUCUCAGCUCAUAGGUGACCAGGUCCCUUUUCACAAAACUACUGAAGACAGAUCCAAGCAUCUCAACUCACCUACUACUGAGUUCACCAGCAAGAUCUGAAAGGCCUUAUUGAUUAAUGGCUUCCCAUGAUAUAAUAGGCUUGUGGUAUUUGAUUCUCUUCCUAUGAUGGUUAUAGAUCCGUUAAUAUCUCACCAUUCUAUACCCAUGAGACCUCGUCUUGAAGGGUCAAUAUUAUCUUUUGAUAACAAUUUUGGACCACAGAAAAGUAUAAGAAUUAACUGAAAGUAGACUUCAAUGAAGAAAAAGGGGCAAAAAGGAAGCCUAACAAAUAUCAAUGGAUGAUUCCUAUUACUUAGUUAACAAAAUGUUUUCUAUUAUGAUGCAUCAGAAAGUAUGACUAAUAUGUUGCUUUCUCGGUGGAUUUUAUGAUACAUACUUUUUCUUGCAAGCAAUUUUGCAGCAAGUUCUGUUGCCUGUAAAGAAAGGUUGAUCAUUUAGUUAUUACAUAGAGUCAAAAAUUUAUAAAACUUUUCCCAAAAUUUCUAAUUAUUGAAAUCAUUUUGUUGUAUCUAAGAUUUUUUCUCUAGAAAUUCAAAAUGAAGAAUACACUGUUUUUUCCAACCCCCCUAUUUCACUUCCUCCUUAGACUGGCCUCUAGUUUCGGAAAUGUGCUUUAUUACCCAGGGGUACAGAAUUAUAGCUGCUGCAUAAACAGUGUAUCUUUCUGAUCCUUAUACUUCCAACACACCUUAGCCAUGCCUACAUUGUGUUUCUCUGAAAAUGGAUAUAGGAUUUGCAGGAAGUGGGCAGAUGAGUCCCUUCUGACUGCUAAAAGCCCUGAUGGAGUAGCAAGGCAUCUGACCAGGACUUUCUGAUAAUCCUUUAUUUACUCGUUCAAAUGCCAUAGUUCCACUGUCCUCUCCCCAUAUUCCACAGUAGGAAGAAAAUAUGUGAAUGCUUAUUCAGUAACUAUGGGUUAAAAUCAUAAGUUUCUAGCUAUAUUUAAUACCAAUUUAGAUGCAUUCCUUUUAUGUGUAUGACAAUAUUCUAUCAUGUGUUGUUAGAUUUACCGUCACACACUAAUGAAAUAAAAACACAGUUUUCUAAAUUGCAAAAAAGAAUAGCUCAAUCAUAAAAAUAAUAGAAAAAUAAAUAUUAAAAUCUAAAACUGAAGUCUGAUUUAUUUUUGUAUAUUUUUGCUGAUUUGUACUGCUGCUUUUCUUCUUUCUACUUUCUUAAGAAAAUUGGCACUCCUUUCUAGGCCUGCACUCUACAUGAUCAAAUUUACAUUUCCCCCUAGGGAUAUAAUUCAAUUUUGAGAAAUAGCCAGACUGAAAACUAUAUCCUGUAUUUUGGCAGAAAAGAAAAGAAACUUCACUGGGUUCAGUUCAUAAAAUGGGCUUCAUGACAAUAGUCUACCCUUAGAUUUGUACCUUUUGGCAGUAUUCAACUAGGAGCAUGAAAGCUGAUGUCAGUGACAUGUUCUCUAUCAUUUGUCCUAAUUUGUUUUUCUAAGAUCUGGUUUCUUAGGUCAACUCAAGUUUCCACAGGUUUUCCUCUUAGAUAUUCUGCAACCUAAUGCAUUCAGAUUCACUUUUCUGUUUUCUUCAUGUUAUAUCAUUGGCACAAAACAUAACUAACUCAAGGAGUUCUAUGUAUUCAUUGGUAGCAGUUCCCAAUAGACUUUUUGCUCCAAAAGCAUACAAACAGCACGAAAGUGCAAAGGCCUACAGGUAAAAUUAGUCAGGAAACUGAAAAAGCUUCAUUGAUGACUAUUAGAAAACAAUUUUAUUAACCAGAUAAAGCAUGGCAUCAGCAGAAAUGGCAGGGUAAGUAUCUUGAGAAAUUCAUUCCUCCAAAAAAGUAAGAAGUAAACUGGCGAAAGAAAAAUGAUGAGAAUUAUAGUUUCUGGGGCUCUAAUUAAUUAAAGGCUUGCAACAUUCCAGAGAGCACUUAUUUAGGAAAAACAGUGAAUCUAGGUAAUAGCAGUGGGUUUUGGUGUUUUAACUUGUCUUAUUUUCAUCCACUUUCUCCAGCUUCAUAAUAUCCUUGAAAAAUAAUACCCUGAAAUCAUAGCAACAUAGUUUUAUCUUGGUAUCUGCCUAAAAACUAGCAUUAUAGUUUGAACAUAGUAGGUUCUCAAUAAAUGUUUGAUAAAUAAAUUCCUAUUUAAAGUCUUUCGGAUCUGUGACUACUUCUCUCUAAUCCCAAAUGAAGCCUUUGCAGGCCACUAAUAGCUUUUGGGAGCUGGUUCUGAGUUUCUUUCUUUCAAUUUUUCCUAUAUAUUGGUGUCAAAGUUAUUCAUUGUGUAUGCUAAUUUGACCAUUACACCCCCACUAAAAACCAUCAGACUAUUACCCAAUAAAUAAACUACAAGUUUUAACCACAGUCUUCAGGGUAGUAGAUUUAUUGCCUUCUUCACUGUUACUCCUUAUACCUUCCCUGUAAUACAAAGUUACUUAUCACCUGAGUGCAACCCUUAAUUGCUGCAACUUUACUCCCACUGCUGUCAUAUUUACUUUAUUUUCAUUCCCUUGGUACUGAAUUUUCCUCUCAAUUUUAUAAAUCUUUUGUAACAUUAAACAAAUGAUCAGGAACAAGAAGACUAAGCAAUAAGUGAGAAAAGAAAUGAUGGAAUAGAUGUGAGGCUUCCACAGCAAACUCCUGUAAAACCUGCAGUUAAACCUGAGCAAGAGGAAUGUGACAUAUGUGUCUUUGCUCUUUAUUUGGAUCUGUGUGUAUGCUCUUGGAGCAGUGGCGAAGAAGCUCCAGGGUAAUCUAAAAACCAAAAUAAAUGCCUUGAGAUCUUUUCUGGGAAUGAAAAAAUACAAAGACAAGCUAAGAAGCUGGAGCAGGAAAUUGACUUCAAACUCUGCUUGGAGAAUCACCAGCUGCAAAACUGUAUGGGGCAAAUUUCUCAUAAGAGUAUAGAGGAUGUGACACUGUACAGAGUUCACACUCAUGACUCAAUGAUGAAAUGGAAACCAGGAAGACCUGAUUAUGCAUGUCUGUGAAACUCACCCAUGCCAUCUGGAAAGGAAAAAGUUAAGUUGCAUUUCUGCAAUACAUUCUCUCCCUUCCCUGAGCUGCUCCUGGAAUAUAAAGAAAGCAAGGAAAUAUUUACUGGGCCUUCAGCUUUCUGUACUACUUCGGAACAGCACUAGCAUCUAUCUCAGGGUUUAAAAUAUGGAAGUUCUUGCCUUCCUUGAAUCUUUUCUCCCAGAAAUAACAUAUUGGCUCUCUUCCCUGUGACAUGCCUCAUCUGACAUUGGCUGGCUUUCAUAUAAAACCUUUGUUUUAGCCUACUAUCAAUUCAACUUUUACAUUGACAAAACGUAAUUUUUGGUUGUCAAUGUAAAAGUUGACAUUUUUACAUUCAACUUUAAUUUAAAUGCUGAAUUUAAAUUUAAAUGCUGAAAAUUUAUUUAAACACUUAAAAUGAUAUUAGAAGAGGUAUUUUAUGUUUUUAAACAGAGAUAUAUUUCAUUUUUAUAUGCAGUCAACAGAUCACAUGUGUAUGUCUCUUAUGUGUUCCUGUGUGGGAAUAGCUUGAAUUACUACAUAAGUUCUCUGAGAAUAUUAAGUUCAUUUAGGGGAACAGGACAUAUCUAUAUGAAAAACAGAAAUAAUACUACAAACAAAAGAGAGAUCACGAGAUAACAUGUAAUUAAUUCUCAGUGAAUGACAUGUCAUGAAAUCAUCAGAAGAGAUGAGGAUAUGGGAAAAGCUUUAUGAAAGUAGUCAGAACCAUAAGGAAGAUUCGGUUUUGUUAAACAGAAAGACCUUUUUCCAUUGUGGUAUUAAGUUUAAUAUGAUUUUCAUUGUAUUAAAAUACUAAUGCAGUAAGUUGAAAAUAUAAUUGCAUUCUUUUCAUUUAAUCUAUUGUAAAAUAUAUAAUCAAAAUGAUAUACUUGUAAAAUAAUUACAUAUAUAAUAAAAUCAAUAUACCUGUAAAAGAAUCA
This 5877-nucleotide long non-coding RNA is filed under the name Homo sapiens (human). RNAcentral describes it as "HSALNT0044516". The record is from RNAcentral. Lineage: Eukaryota; Metazoa; Chordata; Mammalia; Primates; Hominidae.